GGACCAGCCUGCUGUGUGACGACACGCUGUCCUCGAACCCAUCUGGCACCAGAGCCUGGCUCCCGACAUCACUGGAACAUUGCCAUUGAACCUACCUCCACAUGGCAGAAUAAGAACCCCUACCUAGGGCGGUGCCUGCUGAGGCAAGUGGAUCAUCUGGCUCUAAAAGAGACUCCACAGAGAACUGUACAUGUGCAGGAGCCUCCAACUGCUGCCCUGCAGCAGGGCAAAGGAGCCACAGCUGGGCAAAACUCAACUGAGGAAGUGGGCAUAUCUGCCUACUGCAUGCUCUUGCCCAGAGCAGGCACCCUCCUGCUAUACAGAAAGUCCUUCUGCCUAAGAACCAUGGCCUACUUACGGUGAACUAGACUCAAGUGUCAAAGAGGCGCUUCCAGAAGACAAUGCCCACCUGCGCUAAGCAUGGAGAGGACAAUAGGGAAUCACUGCUGUGCCCCUUAGAACAUCUGGAGUUCAUUGCCGUUGCUUUGUGGGUGAAGAUCGAAGGUGUAAGCAUACAGGGCACCAGGAGAGAAGCAGGUGUUACCGCAGCGAGAUGGCAGGGUGUGGUGAGCCCCUCUACCUGGCUGUGGAGACAUGUACUUAGAUCAAGUGAC
Molecule: long non-coding RNA, 614 nt
Filed under: Mus pahari (shrew mouse)
Lineage: Eukaryota; Metazoa; Chordata; Mammalia; Rodentia; Muridae
Description: predicted gene, 27002 (MGP_PahariEiJ_G0032884.1)
Source: RNAcentral